GAUGAACGCUGGCGGCGUGCUUAACACAUGCAAGUCGAACGGAAAGGCCCAAGCUUGCUUGGGUACUCGAGUGGCGAACGGGUGAGUAACACGUGGGUGAUCUGCCCUGCACUUCGGGAUAAGCCUUGGAAACUGGGUCUAAUACCGGAUAGGACCACAUUUUGGAUGGUGUGGUGGAAAGUUUUUCGGUGUGGGAUGAGCUCGCGGCCUAUCAGCUUGUUGGUGGGGUAAUGGCCUACCAAGGCGUCGACGGGUAGCCGGCCUGAGAGGGUGUACGGCCACAUUGGGACUGAGAUACGGCCCAGACUCCUACGGGAGGCAGCAGUGGGGAAUAUUGCACAAUGGGCGCAAGCCUGAUGAAGCGACGCCGCGUGGGGGAUGACGGCCUUCGGGUUGUAGACUACUUUCGCUAGGGACGAAGCGCAAGUGACGGUACCUGGAGAAGAAGCACCGGCUAACUACGUG
RNAcentral lists this ribosomal RNA (465 nucleotides) under uncultured bacterium. RNAcentral describes it as "partial 16S ribosomal RNA". It matches the Rfam family "Bacterial small subunit ribosomal RNA", at positions 28 to 507 of the family's 1533-position model. The record is from RNAcentral.